Molecule: ribosomal RNA, 483 nt
Filed under: uncultured bacterium
Lineage: Bacteria
Description: partial 16S ribosomal RNA
Rfam family: Bacterial small subunit ribosomal RNA
Source: RNAcentral
GAUGAACGCUGGCGGCGUGCCUAACACAUGCAAGUCGAACGGAGUCGUUUUGGAAAUCUCUUCGGAGAUGGAAUUCUCGACUUAGUGGCGGAUGGGUGAGUAACGCGUGAGCAAUCUGCCUUUAAGAGGGGGAUAACAGUCGGAAACGGCUGCUAAUACCGCAUAAAGCAUUAAAUUCGCAUGUUUUUGAUGCCAAAGGAGCAAUCCGCUUUUAGAUGAGCUCGCGUCUGAUUAGCUAGUUGGCGGGGUAACGGCCCACCAAGGCGACGAUCAGUAGCCGGACUGAGAGGUUGAACGGCCACAUUGGGACUGAGACACGGCCCAGACUCCUACGGGAGGCAGCAGUGGGGAAUAUUGCGCAAUGGGGGAAACCCUGACGCAGCAACGCCGCGUGAUUGAAGAAGGCCUUCGGGUUGUAAAGAUCUUUAAUCAGGGACGAAACAAAUGACGGUACCUGAAGAAUAAGCGCCGGCUAACUACGUG